GCCAACGACCAUACCACGUUGAAUACACCAGUUCUCAUCCGAUCACUGAAGUUAAGCAACGUCGGGCGUAGUUAGUAGUACUUGGAUGGGUGACCGCUUGGGAACACUACGUGCCGUUGGCA
This is a ribosomal RNA of Rhopalosiphum padi (bird cherry-oat aphid), 122 nucleotides long. The record is from RefSeq and is a predicted model, not a curated record. Lineage: Eukaryota; Metazoa; Arthropoda; Insecta; Hemiptera; Aphididae.